GGUUCCGUAGCUCAGUUGGAUAGAGCAACAGCCUUCUAAGCUGUGGGUCAAAGGUUCGAAUCCUUUCGGAAUCGCAA
This 77-nucleotide transfer RNA is filed under the name Bacteroidetes bacterium 4572_128. RNAcentral describes it as "tRNA-Arg". It matches the Rfam family "tRNA". Rfam says of the family: Transfer RNA (tRNA) molecules are approximately 80 nucleotides in length. Their secondary structure includes four short double-helical elements and three loops (D, anti-codon, and T loops). Further hydrogen bonds mediate the characteristic L-shaped molecular structure. tRNAs have two regions of fundamental functional importance: the anti-codon, which is responsible for specific mRNA codon recognition, and the 3' end, to which the tRNAs corresponding amino acid is attached (by aminoacyl-tRNA synthetases). tRNAs cope with the degeneracy of the genetic code in two manners: having more than one tRNA (with a specific anti-codon) for a particular amino acid; and 'wobble' base-pairing, i.e. permitting non-standard base-pairing at the 3rd anti-codon position. Lineage: Bacteria; Pseudomonadati; Bacteroidota. The record is from RNAcentral.